This is a long non-coding RNA of Aegilops tauschii subsp. strangulata, 1151 nucleotides long. RefSeq lists it as uncharacterized. Lineage: Eukaryota; Viridiplantae; Streptophyta; Magnoliopsida; Poales; Poaceae. The record is from RefSeq and is a predicted model, not a curated record.
AACUGCUCUGGCGAUGCCCUCCCUCUAUAUCCCUGCCUCUCUGCGCGCUGCUUCUUAUCCAUCCCCGUGCGGCCGUGCCCAAUGGCUUGUACCGGCAGCUGCAAGGGAUGGCCGGAGAGCGCACUGCUGCGGGAGCCGACCGAAUAUGCCGCUGCUGCACCGCCACAUGUCUCUGGCUGCUAGUAGCAGGGAGACGACGAACUACACAAGCAGCAGAGCAACGACGAGAUCGACGAGCCUGACGACAACGGCAAGCUAGAGUCUCCCCCGACGAGCUCGACGAGGAAUAGGACGACGGCGAUGUCUCAGAGCAGCACGGUCGACCUCGGCGCCCUCCUGCCUGGCGUAGCCGCACUAGCAAAACCCAAGAUGCUGUCCAACCAAGUUUGUGUAUCCACAUUGCUUCUGAUGGCAUUGAAAGCUUCUACAAAGGCUUCCUCUUCCUCAUACUUGUACAUGCAAGCACUGAAAUCAGCAAGUACAUUUGGUCCCUCCUCGUCUUUUUUCUUAUGAGGUACAAUUCCUGAAUCAUCUGCUGUUUUAAUUUCAAAUGCUUGCAAGGCCGAAAUCUUCCGUUGUGACGGCAUCAAGUGGCUUGUCCCAGCUACAAGGAGGACGAUCAGGACAAAAGUAAGAUAGAAGGGAAAUCAUCUACAACAGGCACACACCAACGUACCUUGGUCUUGUUCUCGCUAGAGAGGACGUGUGGGAGGAACAAGGGAGACAAGCAGGAGGAGGCGCCGAGGAAAUUGUCAACACGUUCUGAUUGGCCACAACGUUAGUUCAGCAGAAGCGAGAUCUCUACAACACGUUCAGAUCAGCAUACCUUGGUCUCAUUUUUUCUCCGAGGAGGACCAUCAGGAGGAAGACGACGCGUGGGAGGAUUUUGGCGCCAAGAAACUAUCAGCUCGCUCUAUUUGGCGCCAGCGUUUAUGUGUUUGGCGGCAAUUGUACAACCGUGGGAGAUUUUCCUCCGGACUAAUAGGGAUUUUUGUUCUAAUUAUUCAUAGAAUUAAGAGGGGAGAAAGGAGAGCCAUCUGAUUAAAAUAGACGGCAGAUGCUAGACGCUACAGCACGUGUACAGUAAUAACUGUACUGCAGAGGAACCGAACCCCUUUGCAACAUGACACUGGCCUAACAGGAUUAUAACC